UACGUAGGGAGCGAGCGUUGUCCGAAGUUACUGGGCGUAAAGCGCGCGUAGGCGGGCUGUUAAGUGAGAGGUGAUAGGCUGGGGCUUAACCCCAUGCAGUGCCUCUCAUACUGGCGGUCUUGAGUGCGGCAGGGAGAAGUGGAAUGGCUGGUGUAGCGGUGAAAUGCGUAGAUAUCAGUCGGAACACCGGUGGCGAAGGCAGCUCGCUGGGACGUGACUGACGCUGAGACGCGAAAGCGUGGGGAGCAAACAGG
This 254-nucleotide ribosomal RNA is filed under the name uncultured bacterium. RNAcentral's name for it is "partial 16S ribosomal RNA". It matches the Rfam family "Bacterial small subunit ribosomal RNA", at positions 524 to 776 of the family's 1533-position model. The record is from RNAcentral.